AAACAUAGCUCUUAGUAUAUAUUAGAUUAAGAGUGAAGCCUGCCCAGUGAGAAUAUUUUCUUUAACGGCUGCGGUAUUCUGACCGUACAAAGGUAGCAUAAUCAAUUGUUCCUUAAUUGGGGACUGGUAUGAAUGGCACAACGCAGAGAAGCUGUCUCUUUCUAGGUCUCUUGAAUUUGAGAAUAGAGUGCAGAAGCUCUACUAGUAUAGAAGGACGAGAAGACCCUAGGAGCUUAAAAGGUGUAAAUAGAAUGAGAAUACUUUGGAUUUGCAUGCUUUUUUCAUUGGGGCGAUGUCGAGUCAGGUUAAACACUCGAAGAUAAGAUUAAAUUUAUAAGAACCAGUACUUUAAGUGAGUAACUGAAUAAAACGAAGCUACCCUAGGGAUAACAGCUCAAUUUAUUUUCUGAGACCAAAUCAGGAAAUUAGCUUGAGACCUCGAUGUUGGACUAGAGAAACAGAUUGGUGCAGAAGCCUUUCUUUGUGAGACUGUUCGUCUCUUAAAUCUCUACAUGAUCUGA
Molecule: ribosomal RNA, 521 nt
Filed under: Pseudoliotia micans
Lineage: Eukaryota; Metazoa; Mollusca; Gastropoda; Littorinimorpha; Tornidae
Description: partial 16S ribosomal RNA
Rfam family: Bacterial large subunit ribosomal RNA
Source: RNAcentral